This 240-nucleotide unclassified non-coding RNA is filed under the name soil metagenome. RNAcentral describes it as "partial contains 5.8S ribosomal RNA, internal transcribed spacer 2, and large subunit ribosomal RNA". The record is from RNAcentral.
AACGCACGAGACCUGCGGACCUGCGGAAGGAUCAUUAUAGAGUGGUAAACCCCCCGUAAAAGGGGGGGACCUCCUGUCCUUUGUAGGCUCUUUUUUAAAAGGGCUUUUUUUAAUUUUCUGCUUCGGUGGGGUUAUCCCACCGGAACAACCUCAAAACUCUUAUCAAAAAAUCGUUCUGUCUGAGAACCUUUUAUAAUAAAAAAAAACUUUCAACAACGGAUCUCUAGAUCGGAAGAGCAC